CCUUGGACCAGGCACUAAGAAAUUUUGCUGUUAGAGGUUGCUGCAACCCGACUGCUAGCAUCCUAUAUGUGGACUUCAGUUUUGCAGUUUUCAUGGAACUCGAGUAAGUACCAUCUAAGCUUGGAGACUGACCCGGGGGCAGAAGAGCCCAUGUCUGAGCUGUGGGAAGUGCCGCUCCAGAUGGGCUUGUUCUGGAAGCCAGAAGUCCAAAAUCAAGGGUGCAGCAGAGCAAAGCUUCCUCUGAAGGCUCUAGGGCAGGAUCUUUGAAAUCUCAUGGCAUUCCAGUGCUGCUUGACACAAGGGGAAGUGUGAAAGAAGAGAUGCCAGAGUGGAAAGAGACAGAGGCCUUAAAUGAAAGUGGUUA
RNAcentral lists this long non-coding RNA (364 nucleotides) under Equus caballus (horse). Its description in RNAcentral is "lncRNA (ENSECAG00000046427.1)". Lineage: Eukaryota; Metazoa; Chordata; Mammalia; Perissodactyla; Equidae. The record is from RNAcentral.